This is a non-coding RNA of Ornithorhynchus anatinus (platypus), 72 nucleotides long. The record is from Rfam. NCBI's taxonomy places the organism in Eukaryota, Metazoa, Chordata, Mammalia, Monotremata, Ornithorhynchidae.
AGCAGCGUGGCUCAGUGGAAAGAGCACAGGCUUGAGAGUCAGAGGUCUUGGGUUUGAAUCCCAGUUCUGCCA